AAAAUAAAAAUUAGAUUUAAAAUUAAAAUUAAAAAAUUAAAUAAAAAAAUACAGCUCAGUGACACCCCCCCUCUCCUAUAGAAAAUAAAAUUAAAAAUAGGAGUGAGGGGCUCCCCAGGGAGGUGCAGGGGUGCAGGGGUGCAGGGGGGCUCUGGCACAUCAGGACCAUUCCCCUCAACGUGCUCUUCUACAGGUCUGUGACGCCCCAGUCCUGUCCAAAAUAAAAAUUAAAUUUAAAAUUAAAAUUAAAAAAUUAAAUAAAAAAUACAGCUCAGUGACACCCCCCCAUGCCAUCCAAAAUAAAAUUAAAAAUAGGAGUGAGAGGCUCCCCAUGUUCCCCAGGGAGGUGCAGGGGUGCAGGGUUUUGGGGGGCUCUGGCACAUCAGGACCAUCCCCCUCAACGUGCUCUCCUACAGGUCUGUGACACCCCCAUCCCAUCCAAACUAAAAAUUAAAUUUAAAAUUAAAAUUAAAAAAUUAAAUAAAAAAAUACAGGUCAGUGACACCCUCCCCCAUCCUAUCGAAAAUAAAAUUAAAAAUAGGAGUGAGGGGCUCCCCAUGCUCCCCAGGGAGGUGCAGGGGUUUGGGGGGCUCUGGCACAUCGGGACCAUUCCCCUCAACGUGCUCUUCUACAGUUUCCUGAUGGACGACAGCCUCUACCUCCUGAAGGCCAACUCCGACCUCUUCAAAGUGGACUAGAGCUGCUGGGGGGGGUGGGCAGAGCCCCCCNCUGUUUUCCCUUGUUUUUCCUUAUCCCAGGCACACUGACAGUGUUCCCCCUAUAUUUCCCUUAUCCCAGGCACACUGACAGUGUAUUCCCUGUGUUUACCUUAUCCCAGAGAUGCUGACACUGUUCCCCCUGUGUUUCCCCUAUCCCAGGCACACUGACAGUGUAUUCCCUUAUCCCAGAGAUGCUGACAGUGUAUUCCCUGUGUUUCCCCUAUCCCAAGGACACUGACGGUGUCUCCCCUGUCCCAGAGAUGCUGACAGUGUAUUCUCUGUGUUUCCCUUAUCCCAGGCACUCUGACAGUGUAGUCCCUUAUCCCAGAGAUGCUGACAGUGUAUUCUCUGUUUCCCCUGUCCCAGGCAAACUGACAGUGUAUUCCCUGUGUUUCCCUUAUCCCAGAGAUGCUGACGGUGUUCCCCCUGUGUUUCCCCUAUCCCAGGCACACUGAUGGUGUUUUCCCUUAUCCCAGGCACACUGACAGUGUAUUCCCUGUCCCAGGGAUGCUGACGGUGUUCUCCCUGUGUUUCCCCUAUCCCAGGCACACUGACAGUAUUUUCCCUUAUCCCAGGCACACUGACAAUGUUUUUCCUUAUCCCAGAGAUGCUGACAGUGUAUUCCCUGUGUUUCCCCUAUCCCAGGCACACUGACAGUGUCUCCCCUGUCCCAGAGAUGCUGACAGUGUAUUCUGUGUGUUUCCCCUGUCCCAGGCAUACUGACAGUGUUUUCCCUUAUCCCAGGCACACUAACAGAGUAUUCCCUGUGUUUCCCCUAUCCCAGAGAUGCUGACAGUGUAUUCCCUGUGUUUCCCUUAUCCCAGGCACACUGACGGUGUCUCCCCCGUCCCAGGCACACUGACAGUGUUUCCCCAUCGCAGGGAUGCUGAUGGUGUCUCCCCUGUCCCAGGCACACUGACAGUGUUUUCCCUGUGUUUCCCCUGUCCCAGGCACACUGACAGUGUAUUCCCUUAUCCCA
This 1698-nucleotide long non-coding RNA is filed under the name Zonotrichia albicollis (white-throated sparrow). RNAcentral describes it as "lncRNA (ENSZALG00000003030.1)". Lineage: Eukaryota; Metazoa; Chordata; Aves; Passeriformes; Passerellidae. The record is from RNAcentral.